RNAcentral lists this unclassified non-coding RNA (227 nucleotides) under uncultured fungus. Its description in RNAcentral is "sequence contains ITS1, 5.8S rRNA gene". The stretch from base 179 to 227 matches the Rfam family "5.8S ribosomal RNA", at positions 1 to 49 of the family's 154-position model. Lineage: Eukaryota; Fungi. The record is from RNAcentral.
UCUCCGUAGGUGAACCUGCGGAGGGAUCAUUAUCGAGUGAGGGCGCUUGCGCCCGACCUCCAACCCUUUUGUGAACCACCUCGUUGCUUCGGGGGCGACCCUGCCGUUUCGACGGCGAGCGCCCCCGGAGGCCUUCAAACACUGCAUCUUUGCGUCGGAGUUUAAGUAAAUUAAACAAAACUUUCAACAACGGAUCUCUUGGUUCUGGCAUCGAUGAAGAACGCAGC